This 632-nucleotide ribosomal RNA is filed under the name Chionosphaera apobasidialis. RNAcentral's name for it is "eukaryotic LSU rRNA". It matches the Rfam family "Eukaryotic large subunit ribosomal RNA", at positions 47 to 662 of the family's 3401-position model. The record is from RNAcentral. Lineage: Eukaryota; Fungi; Basidiomycota; Agaricostilbomycetes; Agaricostilbales; Chionosphaeraceae.
UAAGGGCAGGAAAAGAAACUAACCAGGAUUCCCCUAGUAACGGCGAGUGAAGCGGGAACUGCUCAGCUUUAAAAUCUGGCUCUUUCAGAGUCCGAGUUGUGAGCUUGAAGCGUUGCGUCCCCGACGGACCUUGGGUAUAUCAGCUGGAAAGCUGUCUCAGAGAGGGUGACAAGCCCGUUCAUACCAAGGACGCCCGUUGGAGUCUGGCGCAGCUGCUAUAGAGUCGAGUUGUUUGGGAAUGCAGCUCUAAUUGGGUGGUAAACUCCAUCUAAAGCUAAAUAUUGGCGGAAGACCGAUAGCGAACAAGUACCGUGAGGGAAAGAUGAAAAGCACUUUGGAAAGAGAAUGAAACAGUAUGUGAAAUUGCUGGAAGGGAAACGAUUGAGGUUAGACGUGCUUGGCGUGCCUUCAGCCCUUACGGGUGUACUGGCGCGCCGCAGCAGGCCAGCAUCGGUUUGUUGCGUCGGGUAAAAGGGUGGCAGGGACGUGGCUGUCUUCGGACAGUGUUAUAACCUGCCACUGGAUGCCCGGCGUCAGACCGAGGAUCGCAGGGCGCCUUCACAGGUCGCGUCCCCGGACGCUAAGCCCUUAGGAUGCUGGUAGAAUGCUUUAAACGACCCGUCUUGAAACAC